Molecule: small RNA, 29 nt
Filed under: Bombyx mori (domestic silkworm)
Lineage: Eukaryota; Metazoa; Arthropoda; Insecta; Lepidoptera; Bombycidae
Description: ovarian small RNA-2678
Source: RNAcentral
GACCGAUGACGCCCGAGUGCAACCGAAUG